This 72-nucleotide transfer RNA is filed under the name Pangasianodon hypophthalmus (striped catfish). RNAcentral's name for it is "tRNA-Glu". Lineage: Eukaryota; Metazoa; Chordata; Actinopteri; Siluriformes; Pangasiidae. The record is from RNAcentral.
UCCCUGGAGGACUAGUGGUUAGGCCUCGGUGCUCUCACCGCUGUGACUGGGGUUCAGUUCCCAGCCAGAGAA